RNAcentral lists this ribosomal RNA (492 nucleotides) under uncultured bacterium. Its description in RNAcentral is "partial 16S ribosomal RNA". It matches the Rfam family "Bacterial small subunit ribosomal RNA", at positions 29 to 507 of the family's 1533-position model. The record is from RNAcentral.
AGUGAACGCUGGCGGUAGGCCUAACACAUGCAAGUCGAACGGCAGCACAGUAAGAGCUUGCUCUUACGGGUGGCGAGUGGCGGACGGGUGAGGAAUACAUCGGAAUCUACUUUUUCGUGGGGGAUAACGUAGGGAAACUUACGCUAAUACCGCAUACGACCUACGGGUGAAAGCAGGGGAUCUUCGGACCUUGCGCGAUUGAAUGAGCCGAUGUCGGAUUAGCUAGUUAGCGAGGUAAAGGCCCACCAAGGCGACGAUCCGUAGCUGGUCUGAGAGGAUGAUCAGCCACACUGGAACUGAGACACGGUCCAGACUCCUACGGGAGGCAGCAGUGGGGAAUAUUGGACAAUGGGCGCAAGCCUGAUCCAGCCAUACCGCGUGGGUGAAGAAGGCCUUCGGGUUGUAAAGCCCUUUUGUUGGGAAAGAAAAGCAGCAGGUUAAUACCCCGCUGUUCUGACGGUACCCAAAGAAUAAGCACCGGCUAACUUCGUG